UGAGCGGAGAUAUAUGGAGCUUGCUUUAUAUAACUUAGCAGCGAACGGGUGAGUAACACGUAGAUAAUCUAUCCUAUACUGGGGGAUAGCCCGAUGAAAGUUGGAUUAAUACCGCAUAUAGCUAUAUAGUUGCAUGAUUAUGUAGUGAAAGAUUUAUUGGUAUAGGAGGAGUCUGCGGCACAUUAGCUAGUAGGUGAGGUAAAGGCUUACCUAGGCGACGAUGUGUAGCCGGCCUGAGAGGAUGAACGGCCACAAUGGAACUGAGACACGGUCCAUACUCCUACGGGAGACAGCAGUGGGGAAUAUUGCACAAUGGGGGAAACCCUGAUGCAGCAACGCCGCGUGAGUGAAGAAGGUUUUCGGAUUGUAAAGCUCUGUUAGCAGGGAAGAGGAAGGACGGUACCUGCAGAGGAAGCCACGGCUAACUACGUGCCAGCAGCCGCGGUAAUACGUAGGUGGCAAGCGUUGUUCGGAAUAACUGGGCGUAAAGGAUGCGUAGGCGGUUAAACAAGUUAUAUGUUAAAUAUAUAGGCUUAACCUGUAGAAAGCAUAUAAAACUGUUUAACUAGAGUGCAGGAGAGGUAGUGGAAUUCCUAGUGUAGCGGUGAAAUGCGUAGAGAUUAGGAAGAACACCAGUGGCGAAGGCGACUUACUGGACUGUAACUGACGCUGAGGCAUGAGAGCAUGGGGAGCAAACAGGAUUAGAUACCCUGGUAGUCCAUGCUGUAAACGAUGGGUACUAGGUGUGGGUUGUGAAUAACAAUUCGUGCCGUCGCAAACGCAAUAAGUACCCCGCCUGAGGAGUACGAUCGC
RNAcentral lists this ribosomal RNA (813 nucleotides) under uncultured bacterium. RNAcentral describes it as "bacterial SSU rRNA". It matches the Rfam family "Bacterial small subunit ribosomal RNA", at positions 63 to 889 of the family's 1533-position model. The record is from RNAcentral.